This is a non-coding RNA of Desarmillaria ectypa, 96 nucleotides long. The record is from the annotation of a GenBank genome assembly. NCBI's taxonomy places the organism in Eukaryota, Fungi, Basidiomycota, Agaricomycetes, Agaricales, Physalacriaceae.
CCGACCUUAGCUCAGCUGGAAGAGCGCGAGACUGUAAUUGGGAAAAUUCCUGGGGAAAUUAUCUUGAGGUCGUGCGUUCGAUCCGCACAGGUCGGA